RNAcentral lists this ribosomal RNA (252 nucleotides) under uncultured bacterium. RNAcentral describes it as "partial 16S ribosomal RNA". It matches the Rfam family "Bacterial small subunit ribosomal RNA", at positions 524 to 775 of the family's 1533-position model. The record is from RNAcentral.
UACGAAGGGGGCUAGCGUUGCUCGGAAUUACUGGGCGUAAAGCGCACGUAGGCGGAUUGUUAAGUCGGGGGUGAAAUCCUGGAGCUCAACUCCAGAACUGCCUUCGAUACUGGCGAUCUCGAGUUCGGGAGAGGUGAGUGGAACUGCGAGUGUAGAGGUGAAAUUCGUAGAUAUUCGCAAGAACACCAGUGGCGAAGGCGGCUCACUGGCCCGGUACUGACGCUGAGGUGCGAAAGCGUGGGGAGCAACAGG